RNAcentral lists this long non-coding RNA (1294 nucleotides) under Homo sapiens (human). RNAcentral's name for it is "OVCH1 antisense RNA 1 (OVCH1-AS1)". The record is from RNAcentral. Lineage: Eukaryota; Metazoa; Chordata; Mammalia; Primates; Hominidae.
CAGAGAGCGCGGAGAGACGCAGAACGCAGCCAGCUCCUCCAGGGCCCUCCAGGCCCUCCGGACCCGGGCCGGCGGGUGAACUGGGGGGCCCCGGGACAGGCCGAGGCCUCUGCCCUGCAGAUACCGGAGGCCUCUGCUGUGGCUGCCCACUGGCUGUGCCCAGGCCUUGAAGCCGCAGCGAACCUCUCUUUCCCACCCCACCUGGAUGACUGAUGGCGGCGGCUGCGUCUCCCCGACGGGACCCCGCCGGCCGCCGCGUCUCCCGACCCAAGCCUGCCGGGCCUCGACGAAACCCCCGCAGAGUCGCUGGGACGCAGCGCCUUUGGGCGGCGCCGGGCGUGGUGGGCCGGAAAGUAUGGCGGCCGCUUGAACGCCGCGCGGCGGAGGCCAUUAAGGCGUGGAGGGCCCGGGAAGGCGGCCUAGGGACGCAAGCAGGCUCGGCCACCUCUUUAGGCCACGGAGCCGCGCAGAUCCGGUUCCCGGGUGACCACUCUGUCGCCAUUGGGCGAGACCGACCUAGUCCUGACGACAACGGACAAAGGCCUUCAGGGGCCUGGAAGGGAUAUGAUAUUGAAGCACGUGACAAGUUGGUGAUUUCAGCAAUGGUUUCUCCUGUCUAUAGAAACUCUUCAGCAGAUGGCAAUUUUCCACCUUCCUGUAUAAAACCAGAAUCCUCUCACCUGGCAGAAAUCUUUCUCUCCAGAUGCUGCAAAGCCAGCACAGAUCAUCUUCUCUGUGAUCCCUCCUGGAUGGGCAGAAUAAAAGAAGAGGGGCUGAAGCGGAUGCUGCUUGAUAUCAUUUACAUGACCUAUUUUCAAAAAUAACAACUGGCAUUAAUGUUUAUGCAACAAAAAUAUGCUUACCUGCACUGAUGCUUCCCCAUCCGGUCACAGCACAGAUCUCCGAGGAAAAUAGAGGCUCUGCGCUGUGUGGGAGACAUACUGGCCUCACCACCGAGUUGUACUCCAGAGGAGAGCUUAGUUGUAUUAGGGCAAUGUCAGAGUCAUAACUUAGUGUGUUAAAGUCUUCAUGCACUAUUAUGUGUUUGGCCCUUCUCACCUGUAUCGGUGGCAAGUAAGCAAAUUACAACGUAAGAAAGUCAAAGAAUCCAGCAACUUCCUUGUUGAUGGUCCAAAAUAAUCCUAAAUUUCUGCACUUACAUACAUAAACAAUGCAGAAGACUUUCUAUUAAAUUUAAAAGAGCAAUAUUGGUUUACAAUUUGCAGGGGGCUAUGAACCACCUUCUGGAUAAAGGUGGUGCUGGAGAAAUAAAGCUUUGAAAACCUGAAAAAAA